Molecule: long non-coding RNA, 280 nt
Organism: Cyprinus carpio (common carp)
Lineage: Eukaryota; Metazoa; Chordata; Actinopteri; Cypriniformes; Cyprinidae
Exons: 4
Source: RefSeq, a predicted model, not a curated record
GUGAAGAGAAGAUCUCUGAACGACUGCGCGAGAUCUCAGAAAAACUAAAGGAAAUGUUUGAAGGCAAGAAACCUAAACAACAACCGCAACUGCGUGCUGAUGUCACAAAAGAGAGAUAAUGAGACCAGAAGAGGAGAAAGAUGAAUGGGAAGCGUCCAUUUAUGUUGAAGAUACUGCCAUAAGUCUAGCGAGGGGACGGACACAUGGUGGGAGUUUCAAACUAAAGGAAGGGAAGAAUGUUGUAAUCAUAAAUGAAAAUGCUGGGGUUUGUGCACAUGGU